UGGGGAAUCUUCCGCAAUGGGCGCAAGCCUGACGGAGCAACGCCGCGUGAGUGAUGAAGGCCUUCGGGUUGUAAAACUCUGUCUUCAGGGAAGAAAAAAAUGACGGUACCUGAGGAGGAAGCCCCGGCUAACUACGUGCCAGCAGCCGCGGUAAAACGUAGGGGGCAAGCGUUGUCCGGAAUUACUGGGCGUAAAGGGCGCGUAGGCGGUUAUUUAAGUCAGAGGUGAAAACUCUGGGCUCAACUCAGAGCCUGCCUCUGAAACUGGAUGACUUGAGGGCAGGAGAGGGGAGUGGAAUUCCCAGUGUAGCGGUGAAAUGCGUAGAUAUUGGGAGGAACACCAGUGGCGAAGGCGGCUCUCUGGCCUGUUACUGACGCUGAGGCGCGAAAGCGUGGGGAUCAAACAGG
RNAcentral lists this ribosomal RNA (407 nucleotides) under uncultured prokaryote. Its description in RNAcentral is "bacterial SSU rRNA". It matches the Rfam family "Bacterial small subunit ribosomal RNA", at positions 355 to 776 of the family's 1533-position model. RNAcentral also lists the same sequence under 1 other name. The record is from RNAcentral.